UGUAGCCGAAGCGAAAGCGAGUCUGAACAGGGCGUAUAGUCGGUAGUGGUAGACGCGAAACCAAGUGAUCUACCCUUGAGCAGGUUGAAGUCCGGGUAACACCGGAUGGAGGACCGAACCAAUAAGCGUUGAAAAGCUUCUGGAUGACUUGAGGGUAGGGGUGAAAGGCUAAUCAAACUUGGAGAUAGCUCGUACUCCCCGAAAUGCAUUUAGGUGCAGCCUUGACCAUUACUAAUGUGAGGUAGAGCGACUGAUAAGAUGCGAGGGCUUCACCGCCUAUCAAGUCUUGAUAAACUCCGAAUGCGCAUUAGUUUGAGGUCAGGAGUGAGGGCAUGGGUGCUAAGGUCCGUGCCCGAGAGGAGAAGAAUCCGGACCACCUGCUAAGGUCCCGAAAUAACAGCUAAGUUAAACUAACGAAGUCAGAUUGCUAAGACAGCUAGGAUGUUGGCUUGGAAGCAGCCAUUCAUUUAAAGAGUGCGUAACAGCUCACUAGUCGAGGAGUUUGGCGUGGAUAAUAAUCGGGUAUCAAGCUGUUUACCGAAGCAGUGGGAUCAUAUAAUGAUCGGUAGGGGAGCAUUCCACUCUGCGUCGAAGGUGGGGCGUGAGCCCUGCUGGAGCGUGUGGAAAAGCAAAUGUAGGUAUAAGUAACGAUAAAGGGGGUGAGAAACCCCCUCGCCGCAAGACUCAGGUUUCCUGAUCAACGCUAAUCGGAUCAGGGUCAGUCGGGUCCUAAGGCUCAGCCGAACGGCGAGGCCGAUGGCAGAACCGGUUAAUAUUCCGGUACUACCCUUUAGGGUGACGUGGAGACGCAGUCGUGACAAUGCCGCCAGCUGACGGAAUAGCUGGUUAAAGGGUGUAGAAGUUGAUUGUGGCAGGCAAAUCCACCACAAGAUUCGAACCUGACAGUAUGGAGCGUCCUUCCGGACAAUCCAACAGUGCAUGUAAUCAUACUGCCAAGAAAAUCCGCUAAACAUAACCUUCAGGGUACCCGUACCGCAAACGGACACACGUAGUCGGGUUGAAUAUACUAAGGCGCUUGAGUGAUUCACGGUUAAGGAACUAGGCAAAUUAACCCUGUAACUUCGGGAAAAAGGGUCCCUACCCGUUAGCGGGAGGGCGCAGAGAAUCGGUCCAGGCAACUGUUUAACAAAAACACAGGGCUGUGCGAAGUCGAAAGACGCUGUAUACAGCCUGACACCUGCCCGGUGCUGGAAGGUUAAGAGGAGAUGUCAUCGCAAGAGAAGCAUUGAAUUGAAGCCCCAGUAAACGGCGGCCGUAACUAUAACGGUCCUAAGGUAGCGAAAUUCCUUGUCGGGUAAGUUCCGACCUGCACGAAUGGUGUAAUGAUCUGGACACUGUCUCAACCGUGAGCUCAGUGAAAUUGUAGUAUCGGUGAAGAUGCCGAUUACCCGCGAUGGGACGAAAAGACCCCGUGAACCUUUACUAUAGCUUAUCAUUGAAUUUGGGCACGUGAUGUGUAGGAUAGGUCGGAGGCUUUGAAGCAGGCACGCCAGUGUUUGUGGAGCCGCUGUUGAAAUACGACCCUUCAUUUGUUUGAGUUCUAACUCGU
This 1570-nucleotide ribosomal RNA is filed under the name Phocaeicola massiliensis B84634 = Timone 84634 = DSM 17679 = JCM 13223. RNAcentral describes it as "Bacteroides massiliensis B84634 = Timone 84634 = DSM 17679 = JCM 13223 Bacterial large subunit ribosomal RNA". It matches the Rfam family "Bacterial large subunit ribosomal RNA", at positions 661 to 2230 of the family's 2925-position model. The record is from Rfam by way of RNAcentral. Lineage: Bacteria; Pseudomonadati; Bacteroidota; Bacteroidia; Bacteroidales; Bacteroidaceae.